This 244-nucleotide small RNA is filed under the name Arabidopsis thaliana (thale cress). Its description in RNAcentral is "ATSL049640". Lineage: Eukaryota; Viridiplantae; Streptophyta; Magnoliopsida; Brassicales; Brassicaceae. The record is from RNAcentral.
AAAUUUUGUUUUAAAAUAUUGAUAACAAAUAUGUUUAUGCUAAUUUUAAGGGAUUAAUGUGAAGUUUGUUUGGAUUAAAUUUGAUUGAUAAUGUGAUUGACAAUUUAAAUUAAGAAUUUAAAGUAAAAUUAAUUAUUUUGGAAAACAAUUAAUGCUAAUGGCAUUGGGUUGUAAAUAAGUCCAACUCUAAGAUUUAUUUGUUAAAAUGGCUGCAAAAAUGUAUAUAUAGAUUUAAAAAAAACAA